This 665-nucleotide ribosomal RNA is filed under the name uncultured bacterium. Its description in RNAcentral is "bacterial SSU rRNA". It matches the Rfam family "Bacterial small subunit ribosomal RNA", at positions 118 to 780 of the family's 1533-position model. The record is from RNAcentral.
UACAGAACCUUCCUUUAAGCGGGGGAUAGCCCAUAGAAAUGUGGAUUAAUACCCCAUGGUAUUAUUGAUUGGCAUCAGUUAAUAAUUAAAGAUUUAUCACUUAAAGAUGGCUGUGCGUCUGAUUAGGUAGUUGGUUGGGGUAAAGGCCCACCAAGCCAGCGAUCAGUAACUGGUGUGAGAGCACGACCAGUCACACGGGCACUGAGACACGGGCCCGACUCCUACGGGAGGCAGCAGUAAGGAAUAUUGGUCAAUGGACGCAAGUCUGAACCAGCCAUGCCGCGUGAAGGAUGAAGGCCCUCUGGGUUGUAAACUUCUUUUAUCUGGGAAGAAAUGCCUGAUUUUUAUUGGGUUUGACGGUACCAGAGGAAUAAGCACCGGCUAACUCCGUGCCAGCAGCCGCGGUAAUACGGAGGGUGCGAGCGUUAUCCGGAUUCACUGGGUUUAAAGGGUGCGUAGGUGGGUUGGUAAGUCAGUGGUGAAAUCUCCGUGCUUAACAUGGAAACUGCCAUUGAUACUACUGGUCUUGAAUUUUCUGGAGGUAAGCGGAAUAUGUCAUGUAGCGGUGAAAUGCUUARAUAUGACAUAGAACACCAAUUGCGAAGGCAGYUUACUACAGGGACAUUGACACUGAGGCACGAAAGCGUGGGGAUCAAACAGGAUUA